Molecule: ribosomal RNA, 410 nt
Filed under: uncultured bacterium
Lineage: Bacteria
Description: bacterial SSU rRNA
Rfam family: Bacterial small subunit ribosomal RNA
Source: RNAcentral
GAAUUUUUGGCAAUGGGGGCAACCCUGACCAAGCAACGCCGCGUGGGUGAUGAAGUCUCUUGGGACGUAAAACCCUUUCGACGGGGACGAAAGCCGCAAGGUUUGACGGUACCCGUAGAAGAAGCCCCGGCUAACUCCGUGCCCGCAGCCGCGGUAAUACGGGGGGGGCAAGCGUUGUUCGGAAUUACUGGGCGUAAAGGGCGCGUAGGCGGUUCGCUAAGUCGGAUGUGAAAACUCUGGGCUCAACCCAGAGCCUGCAUCCGAAACUGGCGGGCUAGAGUUCUGGAGGGGAUAGCGGAAUUCCUGGUGUAGCGGUGAAAUGCGUAGAUAUCAGGAGGAACACCGGUGGCGAAGGCGGCUAUCUGGACAGAGUCUGACGCUGAGGCGCGAAAGCUAGGGGAGCAAACAGG